UCUCCGUCCCGCCCCCUCCCCGUGCCUUUGGCUGGAUCCUCUUGCGUGGCCGAUGUGGGCUCCUGCCGGAAGCAGUCGUGGAGCAGCAGGUGGAGUCCGGAGCCGAGGUACAGCAACCAUGGCAGACCCAUCAGAGGUCACUCGGAUCCUUGUCACUGGAGGCUCUGGCUUGGUGGGGUAGGCCAUACAGAGAGUAGUGGCUGAUGAUGCUACCAAGCCUGGAGAAGAGUGGAUAUUUGUCUUCUCUAAGGAUGCAGACUUGAUGGACACAGCCCAGACCCGAGCCCUGUUUGAGAAACAUCAACCUACAUAUGUCAUCCAUUUGGCAGCCAUGGUGGGUGGCCUCUUCCGGAACAUCAAGUAUAACCUGAACUUCUGGGUAAGAAAGGAUUAUGCCUUUGCAGCUUAAAGGGGAAAGACCCAACAUGAGAAAGAACAUUCAAAUCAACGACAAUGUCUUGCACUCAGCCUAUGAGGUGGGCACUCGGAAGGUGAUCUCUUGCCUCUCCACCUGUAUCUUCCCUGACAAGACCACUUACCCCAUCGAUGAGACCAUGAUUCACAAUGGACCCCCACACAACAGCAACUUCGGCUACUCCUAUGCUAAGCGCAUGAUCGACGUACAAAACAGGUCUGGGAUGUUUGGGAGACAGUAGUGCUAAAAGCUGUAGGCCACUGUCUUCAUCACACACACCUUCCAAAACUCAUAAGCCCCCACUCUCCAUCCUGUCAAUCAACAAGCAUUUAUUAAACAUCUAUUGUAGUAAUUAUCAGAAAUAAAAAACAAUAACAACAUAAUUAUUAUAAUAAUAGCUAGCAUUUAUGUAGCUUUUACUAUUGUGCUAGGCACUAUGCUAGGCAAUUUGUAAAUAGUUUAUUUUGGAAAUGAAGUAAACCCUUCUCUCAUUAAGAUUAUGUUCUUUUGGGAGAAAUACUACAUAUAUAAUCAAGCAAUCAAACAUUAAGUACCUCUUAUGUGUUGGACACUUUACUGGGGGUACAAAGGACAAAUAAAAUCAAUCCCUUUCCUCAAGGAAUUUGCAUUCUAAUUUUGGAGACAAUUUCUAUAUAAAUAGACACAUAUAAGAGACCAGCAGAGUAAAAGGGAAGAAACCUUAGAAAGGAAGACAUCAGUAUCUAGAGAGACCUAAGAAGACUUCCUGCAGACAAUGGCAUUUCAGCUGAGACUUGAAGCCAGCCAGAAUCUAAGAAUCUUAAAUGAAAGGGACAGCAUACCAGACAUGGAGACAGUCAGGACCAAGGUAUGGAGGUGGGAGUGUUGCAUGUGAGGAGUUGGAAGAAGGCUAGUAUAACAAAAUUGUAGAGAGGAGAAAGGCAUAAGAACCUGGAAAGAUAGGUGGGAAAGGGAAUGAGGUUGUGAAGAGCUUUUUUUUUUUUUUUAAUAAGUUUUUGUUUUUAUCAAUGUGGUGAGUUUGUUUUUUAAUACAUCACUUUGGUUUCCCUCCCAGAGAGACAUCCCAUAUAACAGAGUAUUUUUUUAAAGGGAGAAAAAAUGAAAAAGAAAAAAAUGUGAUGAUAACUGUACAUCAAAAAAGUCUGAAAAUGUUCAGUGUACAAUGCUUGUGGUUCUUUGAUCUUUGCAAAGAGGUUAAGUCAGGGUAACUCCUCAUCUUUUUAUUUCAAGGCAUGCUUGUUUUUAAUUUUAUAACAUUCGCUUUUGUGUGUGUGUAUGUUUUUCUGUUUCUGUUGAUAUAGAAAAAUGAUUACAAUAAUAUAACUUUCCUGACUCUG
This is an RNA transcript of Antechinus flavipes (yellow-footed antechinus), 1752 nucleotides long. It is a transcript of the gene named GDP-L-fucose synthase-like, with no coding region annotated. NCBI's taxonomy places the organism in Eukaryota, Metazoa, Chordata, Mammalia, Dasyuromorphia, Dasyuridae. The transcript is spliced from 5 exons. The record is from RefSeq and is a predicted model, not a curated record.